Molecule: ribosomal RNA, 497 nt
Filed under: uncultured bacterium
Lineage: Bacteria
Description: partial 16S ribosomal RNA
Rfam family: Bacterial small subunit ribosomal RNA
Source: RNAcentral
GAUGAACGCUGGCGGCGUGCCUAAUACAUGCAAGUCGAGCGAACGGACGAGGAGCUUGCUGCUCUGACGUUAGCGGCGGACGGGUGAGUAACACGUGGAUAACCUACCUAUAAGACUGGGAUAACUUCGGGAAACCGGAGCUAAUACCGGAUGAUAUCUUGAACCGCAUGGUUCAAUAGUGAAAGACGGUCUUGCUGUCACUUAUAGAUGGAUCCGCGCUGCAUUAGAUAGUUGGUAAGGUAACGGCUUACCAAGGCAACGAUGCGUAGCCGACCUGAGAGGGUGAUCGGCCACACGGGAACGGAGACACGGUCCAGACGCCUACGGGAGGCAGCAGUAGGGAACCUUCCGCAAUGGGCGAAAGCAUGACGGAGCAACGCCGCGUGAGUGAUGAAGGUCUUCGGAUCGUAAAACUCUGUUAUUAGGGAAGAACAUAUGUGUAAGUAACUGUGCACAUCUUGACGGUACCUAAUCAGAAAGCCACGGCUAACUACGUG